Molecule: long non-coding RNA, 1072 nt
Organism: Oryzias melastigma (Indian medaka)
Lineage: Eukaryota; Metazoa; Chordata; Actinopteri; Beloniformes; Adrianichthyidae
Exons: 2
Source: RefSeq, a predicted model, not a curated record
ACGGAGUAAGAGACUAGCUAAGAAGAAGUGGGACACUGAGAGGACUGAGGAGAGUAGACAGGAGUACAGGGAGAUGCAGCGUAAGGUGAAAGUAGAGGACUCCUGUAAUGCAGAAUCAACCAGUCUCCCAAUCCUGGAGCUGUUUGUCCAACAGUGAAGAUCCAAGACCAGACUUCAGAAUGAACAGGAACUCUCCUGCGGUCUUCCUGAACCUCCUCCCCGGUGACAUCGGUAUCCUCCUGCAAGUGCUGGAGCUGCAUCACACUUGUAUACCUCAUGUAAGUGAACACACUGCAGUUUUUCAGUAUUAUUUGGAAUAUUUUUAUAUAAAUUUAAAUUUAUAUAUUGCAGGUUGUCACAGCGUGUGCUAUCCUCCACAACAUCUGCCUCUGUGCUGACGACACCGAGGCCCCAGAGGAAGAUGUGGAGGUGAUGAUGAGGACGCUGGUUUGGAGGCCACCAGCGGUGCUCUCUGUCAGGAUCAACUACCGGCUGAGGUUUCUGCCCUGGGGGAGGUACCACCUUGAUUACUGGUAACAGCAUCCGUCCACAGCCAGCCCUGCAAACUGUGAAGAUGGACGAUGCAGUCUACAGUGAAGAUGCAUCCAGAAACUCUGCAGAUUACACUGCAAGAUGUUACAAUCACUACCCAGAAAACUCCAGCCAAACUUAGUCAAAGCCCCCCCAUCCAUGUCGACCAUCUUUGUAAGUAGGAAAUAAGUGUUACAAUUAUUUCAUGAAAAUUACUGUGUUGGAUUUAUGUAUUUAUUUAAAUUAACAAAACAAAAACAAACAUUUUUAAUAUAUCAAAUAUAAACUUCAUUUAUUUAUUCUCAAAAAUCUAAGGAUUUUAACAGCAAUUCUUUCCAGCAGACUAAAGUUGGUCAAAAGUUUCCCUCCUCUCUCGUGAGCUCUGCUCUUCUGCCUCAUGUCCUUUCUGUUUAGGUCUACAAGCUCAUCACUGUUUCUUCUUAUUUUUCUUCUUCCAGCCAGUGGCUCACUCCUUCCUUCUCUUUCUUCACUCUCCUCUCUUUCACCCACUGCUGUACUUCUCCAGCAGAUCCAUUUUCUC